Long non-coding RNA from Macrobrachium nipponense, 859 nucleotides. RefSeq lists it as uncharacterized. The record is from RefSeq and is a predicted model, not a curated record. NCBI's taxonomy places the organism in Eukaryota, Metazoa, Arthropoda, Malacostraca, Decapoda, Palaemonidae. The transcript is spliced from 3 exons.
AAAGAAACCAACCCAUUUAGUGUUUCUCCUGUUGUCUCCAUUUAGUAUUUUGUGAAAAAGUUAGUGUGAUAUAACGCAAUUGGUGGCACAGGAACAGAGGUGGUGCUGAGGUUACUAUCCCAAACCUGUGUGUGGAGUAAACAUGAUUGGAUUUAGAGUUGACAACUGCGAAUUUUAUUUAAAUGUUAUAGCCCACUAGAAGCGAGAUGUAUGCAAGACAAGCAGAUGGGACUACAAUGAAUAUUGUACUUAGUAAACUGCUGAUUUACAGAGAUGACAAGGUACCUUUAGUGCAAUUAAUAUCACUAGUAAAACUUUUUGUCUUCGAAAUGUGUAGUUUACUAUAUUUAUUAAAUAAUUCCAUACACUAGUUCCUCCUAAACCUCUCUUCUGGCUAAGAUAGUCCAAGUCCAAAUUACCGAAGACUAGAAUUGCUAUGAAUUUCAAUACAAAAAUGUUUAACUACACAAAUGGAAAAAUUAUUAGUACAAUAUUCUAAGUAAUGGUAUUUUAGUAAUUAGUUUUCCUCUUUGGUACCCAACAUCCCUGUAAAUCAUUAAUAAAAUCACAAGACAUGGCGUUAUAGACUAGAGGAUCACUGAAGAUACCAAGAAAGAGGAGACAAGAGUAUUAAUGAAGAAACCAAGAAAAAACUAAGGAUCGUUAAGCCUUAAAACCAGAGGAAUUAUGGGUGACAAGAGGAUCACUGAGGAGAUCAAGAAAGAGGAGAGAAGACCAAGAAAGAAGGAAAGAUCGCCGAAAUUCAAAAACCAGAGUAAUUAAGGGAUCACCCCAGAUAUCAAGAAGAAAUAAGAAAAUCACUGAAGGUACCCAGAAGUUCUGAAGAAAGCAGAAUUGU